CCCGCCACUAUGCUGGUCUGUCUGUGAUCUAGUGUAAUCCAGUGGUGAGCUGAGAGCAAACCCCAGCUUAGGUAACAGGCUCUUUCCUCUCGUGAUUGGGUCUGUGCCGAAAGACUGGGGAUAUGA
Molecule: small nucleolar RNA, 126 nt
Organism: Pseudophryne corroboree (corroboree frog)
Lineage: Eukaryota; Metazoa; Chordata; Amphibia; Anura; Myobatrachidae
Product: small nucleolar RNA SNORA65
Exons: 1
Source: RefSeq, a predicted model, not a curated record